AUUGAACGCUGGCGGCAGGCCUAACACAUGCAAGUCGAACGGUAACAGGAGGGCUCUUGCUUCUUUGCUGGCGGGUGGCGGGCGGGUGAGUCAUGUCAGCGAGACUUCCUGAUGGGGGGGGCUACUCCAGGGAACGGUUGCUACUACCGCCUAACUACGCAUGACCAAAGAGGAGGACCUUAGGGCCUCUUGCCAUCGUAUGUGACCAGAGGGGAUUAGCUAGUAGGUGGGGUAACGGCUCACCUAGGCGACGAUCCCUAGCUGGUCUGAGAGGAUGACCAGCCACACUGGAACUGAGACACGGUCCAGACUCCUACGGGAGGCAGCAGUGGGGAAUAUUGCACAAUGGGCGAAAGCCUGAUGCAGCCAUGCCGCGUGUAUGAAGAAGGCCUUCGGGUUGUAAAGUACUUUCAGCGGGGAGGAAGGGAGUAAAGUUAAUACCUUCGCGCAUUGACGUUACCCGAAGAAGAAGCACCGGCUAACUCCGUG
RNAcentral lists this ribosomal RNA (489 nucleotides) under uncultured bacterium. RNAcentral describes it as "partial 16S ribosomal RNA". It matches the Rfam family "Bacterial small subunit ribosomal RNA", at positions 30 to 507 of the family's 1533-position model. The record is from RNAcentral.